This 551-nucleotide ribosomal RNA is filed under the name uncultured bacterium. Its description in RNAcentral is "bacterial SSU rRNA". It matches the Rfam family "Bacterial small subunit ribosomal RNA", at positions 355 to 896 of the family's 1533-position model. The record is from RNAcentral.
UGAGGAAUCUUGCGCAAUGGGCGAAAGCCUGACGCAGCGACGCCGCGUGGAGGAUGAAGGUCUUCGGAUUGUAAACUCCUGUCGAGUGGGACGAAUGCCGUGAGGGUGAAUACCCCUUGCGGUUGACGGUACCGCUGGAGGAAGCCCCGGCUAACUCCGUGCCAGCAGCCGCGGUAAUACGGAGGGGGCUAGCGUUGUUCGGAAUCAUUGGGCGUAAAGGGCGCGUAGGCGGCCGAUCAAGUCGGAGGUGAAAUCCCUCGGCUCAACUGAGGAAUUGCCUUCGAUACUGUUCGGCUUGAGUCCUGGAGAGGGUAGCGGAAUUCCCGGUGUAGCGGUGAAAUGCGUAGAGACCGGGAAGAACACCAGUGGCGAAGGCGGCUACCUGGACAGGUACUGACGCUGAAGCGCGAAAGCUAGGGGAGCAAACAGGAUUAGAUACCCUGGUAGUCCUAGCUGUAAACGAUGGGCACUUGGUGUUGCGGGUAUCGACCCCUGCAGUGCCGAAGCUAACGCAUUAAGUGCCCCGCCUGGGGAGUACGGUCGCAAGGCUG